RNAcentral lists this ribosomal RNA (420 nucleotides) under Brucella intermedia. Its description in RNAcentral is "bacterial SSU rRNA". It matches the Rfam family "Bacterial small subunit ribosomal RNA", at positions 124 to 578 of the family's 1533-position model. Lineage: Bacteria; Pseudomonadati; Pseudomonadota; Alphaproteobacteria; Hyphomicrobiales; Brucellaceae. The record is from RNAcentral.
ACGUACCAUUUGCUACGGAAUAACUCAGGGAAACUUGUGCUAAUACCGUAUGUGCCCGAAAGGGGAAAGAUUUAUCGGCAAAUGAUCGGCCCGCGUUGGAUUAGCUAGUUGGUGGGGUAAAGGCCUACCAAGGCGACGAUCCAUAGCUGGUCUGAGAGGAUGAUCAGCCACACUGGGACUGAGACACGGCCCAGACUCCUACGGGAGGCAGCAGUGGGGAAUAUUGGACAAUGGGCGCAAGCCUGAUCCAGCCAUGCCGCGUGAGUGAUGAAGGCCCUAGGGUUGUAAAGCUCUUUCACCGGUGAAGAUAAUGACGGUAACCGGAGAAGAAGCCCCGGCUAACUUCGUGCCAGCAGCCGCGGUAAUACGAAGGGGGCUAGCGUUGUUCGGAUUUACUGGGCGUAAAGCGCACGUAGGCGG